CUUGUGGUCGUCCAAAGGUAGGACGUCGGUUUUGAGGACCGAAUGUAUGGGUUCGAUUCCCAUCCACUGCACCA
Molecule: transfer RNA, 74 nt
Filed under: Blastopirellula retiformator
Lineage: Bacteria; Pseudomonadati; Planctomycetota; Planctomycetia; Pirellulales; Pirellulaceae
Description: Planctomycetes bacterium Enr8 tRNA-Ser
Rfam family: tRNA
About the family: Transfer RNA (tRNA) molecules are approximately 80 nucleotides in length. Their secondary structure includes four short double-helical elements and three loops (D, anti-codon, and T loops).
Source: RNAcentral